This 467-nucleotide ribosomal RNA is filed under the name uncultured bacterium. Its description in RNAcentral is "partial 16S ribosomal RNA". It matches the Rfam family "Bacterial small subunit ribosomal RNA", at positions 28 to 506 of the family's 1533-position model. The record is from RNAcentral.
GACGAACGCUGGCGGCGUGCUUAACACAUGCAAGUCGAACGGAAAGGCCCUGCUUUUGUGGGGUGCUCGAGUGGCGAACGGGUGAGUAACACGUGAGUAACCUGCCCUUGACUUUGGGAUAACUUCAGGAAACUGGGGCUAAUACCGGAUAGGAGCUCCUGCUGCAUGGUGGGGGUUGGAAAGUUUCGGCGGUUGGGGAUGGACUCGCGGCUUAUCAGCUUGUUGGUGGGGUAGUGGCUUACCAAGGCUUUGACGGGUAGCCGGCCUGAGAGGGUGACCGGCCACAUUGGGACUGAGAUACGGCACAGACUCCUACGGGAGGCAGCAGUAGGGAAUAUUGCACAAUGGGCGGAAGCCUGAUGCAGCAACGCCGCGUGCGGGAUGACGGCCUUCGGGUUGUAAACCGCUUUCGCCUGUGACGAAGCGUGAGGGACGGGAAUGGGGAAAGAAGCACCGGCGAACUACGG